RNAcentral lists this ribosomal RNA (328 nucleotides) under Shigella flexneri. RNAcentral describes it as "bacterial SSU rRNA". It matches the Rfam family "Bacterial small subunit ribosomal RNA", at positions 1 to 325 of the family's 1533-position model. Lineage: Bacteria; Pseudomonadati; Pseudomonadota; Gammaproteobacteria; Enterobacterales; Enterobacteriaceae. The record is from RNAcentral.
AAAUUGAAGAGUUUGAUCAUGGCUCAGAUUGAACGCUGGCGGCAGGCCUAACACAUGCAAGUCGAACGGUAACAGGAAACAGCUUGCUGUUUCGCUGACGAGUGGCGGACGGGUGAGUAAUGUCUGGGAAACUGCCCGAUGGAGGGGGAUAACUACUGGAAACGGUAGCUAAUACCGCAUAACGUCGCAAGACCAAAGAGGGGGACCUUCGGGCCUCUUGCUAUCGGAUGUGCCCAGAUGGGAUUAGCUAGUAGGUGGGGUAACGGCUCACCUAGGCGACGAUCCCUAGCUGGUCUGAGAGGAUGACCAGCCACACUGGAACUGAGAC